This 253-nucleotide ribosomal RNA is filed under the name uncultured bacterium. Its description in RNAcentral is "partial 16S ribosomal RNA". It matches the Rfam family "Bacterial small subunit ribosomal RNA", at positions 524 to 776 of the family's 1533-position model. The record is from RNAcentral.
UACGUAGGGGGCAAGCGUUGUCCGGAGUUACUGGGCGUAAAGCGCACGCAGGCGGUCGAUUAAGUUUGGAGUGACAGUUGGUGGCUUAACUGCCAAAGUGCUUCGAAAACUGAUCGACUUGAGGGCUUCAGAGGGACACGGAAUUCCAGGUGUAGCGGUGAAAUGCGUAGAUAUCUGGAGGAACACCGGUGGCGAAGGCGGCAUCCUGGACCAACACUGACACUGAGGAGCGAAAGCUAGGGGAGCAAACGGG